Cyprinus carpio (common carp) is the source of this 2108-nucleotide long non-coding RNA. The record is from Ensembl. NCBI's taxonomy places the organism in Eukaryota, Metazoa, Chordata, Actinopteri, Cypriniformes, Cyprinidae.
GAAAGAUUCCCCUCAUGCAGAUUUUGCAUCAGGUUCAACUGGUCAUGCAAAUUCACAAUGAUGACAAGCAGAAACCUGUUUGUUUUGAAAGUGACUUCUGAGUGAGUUGUGCUUCAUACAUCUCUACACUAUCGAUCGUUUAUCUUCAGAUUUUCAUUAAAGUAAUUCUUAUUUUUAACAGCAAUCCACACAAAUUCAUUACUAGAUUAUUGACUUUUUUUUUUUCCUCGAGGAAUUUCACUAAUGCGACCAAACCUUAGCUAUAACUGGCUUAAGAAAUGAGAACGCAGAGUUUUGAGGUCGCAGCGGCCAUGGAGCUCGUUCAAAUACUGAGGUGCUAAACCACUCAGGGCUUUACAUCUUGGUUUGGUGUAUGAGGCCUUACAACGAAUACAGGCAAUUCACCCCCAAUCCAGAAGGGGGCACCCGCAGCAAUGCAACGCUGAUUGAUAAACGGCCGCCAGCAGAAGAACAGCGAAUGCCGAUGUUAAUUGGAUGACUGAAGAAGUGUGGAUUACUUGUGGAUUAUCGUGAUGUUUUUAUCAGCUGUUUGGACUCUCAUUCUGACGGCACCCAUUCACUGCAGAGGAUCCAUUGUUGAGCAAGAGAUGUACAUUCUGAUGGCACCCAUUCACUGCAGAGGAUCCAUUGUUGAGCAAGAGAUGUGAUGUUAUAUUUCUCCAAAUCUGAUGAAGAAACAAACUCAUCUCCAUCUUGGAUGGCAUGAGGAAUGGCAGCACAGCUGAAAGCUGCAGGUGGAUGGCUCUAGGUUGCCAUUUUGAAGGCAACAUGACAAGCUGUCACAGCACAAUGGCAGACGUGUUUCAAGACCACAGUGGACCAGUAAGCCGAGUAUUGAUAUUCAGCACUCUCAGCCAUUCCUGCAAGAUCAGAUAUAGCUCCAAAGCAAACUGACGUGAAAAAGACGGGGAUGCUUGUCUCAAGUUCUAAGGAAAUAAUGGAGCAAAGCAAUGGAGGGUUGCAUAAACAAACCUGCAGUAAAUGGAUGUAUCCACUAACACUGUGUGGGUAUUUCACUGGAAAGAACUAAUAAGCAAGGACAUUACAAACAAAGGAAAACAAAGGCCAAGAUCUGCUCAGGUUUCAGAGCUCUCACUGGGAAUGUUCUUCAGAGAACAGGUGCUCAAAGGAAGCUUUAAUCUUCUAUCAAACUAUUCCAAAACCUGACUCAAUGGGAGCCGUUAAAAUAAUGUUACAGUGAUGUAAGCGGUUUACUCUGUAUGCCAGAUCAGCAUUCAUAAUAGGCUCUGAGACAUGGGACAAAAAAACUUAAAAUGACAACAAAUGUCCACUUUGAAAUGAAUCAGAGAUGAUCACUUCAAUGUUCUUAUUACAAAUUGUGUUCUUAUUUUUAUCAGAAUUAUAAAAGUUGCAUGUAUCAGUGACUAUAGACGAUAACGGUAUUGUUUGAAAACGUUUUGUUUUAGUUGAAACCGUGUGUUAUUUUAUUCAAAUUUAUGAUUUCUGACACACAUAUUUAAAUUCUAAGAUGAAUGACAUAGCUAUUUAUUCAUUUAUUUAUUUUUAUGAACUUACAAAGGAACAAAAAUGUGUUUGUCACUCAGAUGCCAGAUGUCUGCCACUGUAUACGUUUUUAUUUUAAUUUUUUGGAAGAUUGCAUAAUUUGGAUUUAUUGAGUUGUCUGACACCAUUAGGUCACAUUUCCAGCCACAUCAAAGACAGAGAAAAAAACUAUAUUUUUUCUAUAUACCUUAUAUAUCUUGGCCAGUUUUUAUAGUAAUACUUCAUGUCAGUAAUUCAUUUCCUCUUUCAUAUUUUCAUUUUGACAUAACACAAUCAUGUCCUUCUGUGGCACUGCUAUCCUAAUACCCCAGUUCCUGUGAAAUGAGAUUUCUUUCCAGAUGUGGUUUUAAUCGGGUUUAUGUUUCAGCGCGUAACUUUUCUAUAAGCUCUUAUUAAACUAGAGCAUGUUUUCAGAAUUUACCUGUUCAGCCUGACUUAACGGCGUGAAAAACCUAAGGUUUCAAAACAAAAGGUUGGCAUGAACCCAUAUGAACCACAACAACAUUUGAUCGUGUUGAUUUUUAGGGAGGACCUGCUAAUAAAGCAUAAAACCUGCUUGUGCA